CAUCCUCCUCUAUACUAGAGACACAAGAGAAAGAGAAAGAGGAAGAAAAUGAAAAGGAAUUUCACUACCCUUCCAAGUCCAACAUCAUCAGUAGCAGUAUCUGUUUCGAAAUCGGACCUCCUCGUUGCAAUUCUUUCUUCACUUUUUUGAAAUUGAUGAUAUUGCCUCUCGCCGCGACUUCACCCGCUUUUCUGAGUAAGUUUAAUUACUGUAUAGUAUACUACUAAGUACUAAACUCCUUUCUCUUCUUCUUCUUCUACAAUCUACAGUAAUUCUUCUUUUCCCCCAAAUCCGCUUUCCUUCCAGUUCCACCCAUGAUGAUAUCUCUUCUGUUUUAAUUAAGUUAUACUAUUGGAGUAUUUAAUUAAUUAAUUUUGCCUAUCCGCAGGUGUUUGGAUUCCAUUAUUCAUGCUAAACGAGCUUGGAGGGCUC
RNAcentral lists this long non-coding RNA (432 nucleotides) under Aquilegia coerulea. RNAcentral describes it as "long non-coding RNA (ACOE_LNC000155)". The record is from RNAcentral. Lineage: Eukaryota; Viridiplantae; Streptophyta; Magnoliopsida; Ranunculales; Ranunculaceae.